Molecule: long non-coding RNA, 1474 nt
Organism: Lathyrus oleraceus (garden pea)
Lineage: Eukaryota; Viridiplantae; Streptophyta; Magnoliopsida; Fabales; Fabaceae
Exons: 2
Source: RefSeq, a predicted model, not a curated record
CCUAAGCCCAAGCAAGGGGCUGUGGGGCUGACCUAUGGAGGUGUAUACCAGCAGGCUAAGCUUGGGCCUUAGAGGCCCAAGGUAUACACCCCAAAGAGACAAGGUCAACUACACUUCUCCUACUUCACGCUCAGAUUGCAAACACAACCGAACCAAAAGCCAUGGCCAGAAACCUCUUCUCCUCCGCCGUGUCGGAAUCGCCUCCGACAGCGGCGGAGAGCCAAUUGCUACAAACUAUACACCAAACUAAAUGCCUCACCACACUUCGCUCAGAUCCCUCAUCGAUUCUAACUGAUUUGCAUCCAAUCCCCCUAACUGAGCCUAACUCGCUCCAAAAACCCAACCUCCAUAACGACCGUUCGAAUGCUUGGAUGAUUCUGCCGCGCCGGAGCUCAUUGUCGGCUGCGGCGGAGCUUCUAAUCGCCUAAUUGUACCGACGGAACAUGCACCUACCGUCGAAAGGAAACACCAAUGGAAUCAACUUCUUCUGCUGCGAUGUGCUUCUGCUAUGAAUUCUGUUGAUGAUGGAGUCACGAGAAUUGGUGCGGUUGUGGUGUGGAGUCACAGUGGUGGAGCUGAUGAUGUGAGGCACGGGAAGGAGAACAAAUGGAACCUUCUGUAAAUUAUGAUCAUGCGUUAUGAUCAUGCAGUUCUGCGUUUCAAAUUACAGCUUGUCGUUUAUGCUUGUUUCCAAUUUUCAAUUUGCUGCGUUUUGAUUAUUUUCAAUUUUCUGUUGCGUUUCAAUGUUGUGAGUUCAUGUCGUUUGGUAUCGGCUUGGAUGCCGCUUUCAGCUGUACGUUACAGUUGGUUUGUUGCUUAUUUCGUCAUAUUGUUACUGCGUUUUGAAUUGCUUGCGUUGGUGUUGUUUUGCAGGUGGCUUGGCUUGAUAUGCUUUUGGUUGAAGUUUGGAUCUACUGCGUUUGGCUUAGCUUAUUUUGGACCUGGGUUUGUUGCGUUUUACUUUUCCAUUAACUGCUAGUUUGACUGUGUUACUUGUUGCAGCUUUGUUUUGGUUCGUGACGCCGUUGUUUAUGUACUUUCAUGCACACUGUAGCAGCUGGUAUUGACUUGGUUUGGAUCUACUGUGUUUAUGGCUUGCACUUUGAUGCCGCGUUGCUGUAGUUUGGAGUAUUGCGUUUGGAUGGAAGCUUUAUGCAGCUGGGAGUUUGGAAGUGGCUCAUGGAUAAUAGCUCGUUGAUGCGGUUUGGUUUGCUGGCUGUUGUUGUGCGUUUCGUUGCAGUUUCAUCUGCGUUUUGCCUUUUGGUUUUUGUAUCUGCGUUUUGCAGCUUUUACGUGUUGAUUGUACAUCGCUUUGCAACGGUGUACUAUUUCCCUUGCAAUUCUUCCACUUGCAUUUUCUCUUUUUUUGUCUUAUCUGCAGUGCUUUGGUAUGAUACUUGGAUAUAGAUUGUGUAAUUUGGGAUAUGGACCUAAUCUAAUGGAUAAUGAAUAAGCCAAAUGGACUUGUUGGAUA